UACGAAGGGGGCUAGCGUUGUUCGGAAUCACUGGGCGUAAAGCGCACGUAGGCGGCUCUAUAAGUUGGAUGUGAAAACCCUCGGCUCAACCAAGGAAGUGCAUCCAAAACUGCAGAGCUUGAGUACUUAAGAGGAUCGCGGAAUUCCCGGUGUAGAGGUGAAAUUCGUAGAUAUCGGGAGGAACACCAGUGGCGAAGGCGGCGAUCUGGGAAGAUACUGACGCUGAGGUGCGAAAGCGUGGGGAGCAAACAGG
RNAcentral lists this ribosomal RNA (253 nucleotides) under uncultured bacterium. RNAcentral describes it as "partial 16S ribosomal RNA". It matches the Rfam family "Bacterial small subunit ribosomal RNA", at positions 524 to 776 of the family's 1533-position model. The record is from RNAcentral.